GGGAAUGCAACAACUUUAUUGAAAGGAAAGUGCAAUGAAAUUUGUUGAAACCUUAAAAGGGGAAACUUAGACACCCCCCCUCAAGCGCAGGACCAAGUGCAGAGUGGACUCUUUCUGGAUGUUGUAGUCAGACAGGGUGCGUCCAUCUUCCAGCUGUUUCCCAGCAAAGAUCAACCUCUGCUGAUCAGGAGGGAUGCCUUCCUUAUCUUGGAUCUUUGCCUUGACAUUCUCGAUGGUGUCACUGGGCUCCACCUCGAGGGUGAUGGUCUUACCAGUCAGGGUCUUCACGAAGAUUUGCAUCCCACCUCUGAGACGGAGCACCAGGUGCAGGGUGGACUCUUUCUGGAUGUUGUAGUCAGACAGGGUGCGUCCAUCUUCCAGCUGUUUCCCAGCAAAGAUCAACCUCUGCUGGUCAGGAGGGAUGCCUUCCUUGUCUUGGAUCUUUGCCUUGACAUUCUCAAUGGUGUCACUCGGCUCCACUUCGAGAGUGAUGGUCUUACCAGUCAGGGUCUUCACGAAGAUCUGCAUCCCACCUCUAAGACGGAGCACCAGGUGCAGGGUGGACUCUUUCUGGAUGUUGUAGUCAGACAGGGUGCGUCCAUCUUCCAGCUGUUUCCCAGCAAAGAUCAACCUCUGCUGGUCAGGAGGGAUGCCUUCCUUGUCUUGGAUCUUUGCCUUGACAUUCUCAAUGGUGUCACUCGGCUCCACUUCGAGAGUGAUGGUCUUACCAGUCAGGGUCUUCACGAAGAUCUGCAUCCCACCUCUAAGACGGAGCACCAGGUGCAGGGUGGACUCUUUCUGGAUGUUGUAGUCAGACAGGACAGGGUGCGCCCAUCUUCCAGCUGCUUUCCGGCAAAGAUCAACCUCUGCUGGUCAGGAGGAAUGCCUUCCUUGUCUUGGAUCUUUGCUUUGACGUUCUCGAUAGUGUCACUGGGCUCGACCUCAAGGGUGAUGGUCUUGCCAGUGAGUGUCUUCACGAAGAUUUGCAUCCCACCUCUGAGACGGAGUACCAGGUGCAAGGUGGACUCUUUCUGGAUGUUGUAGUCAGACAGGGUACGACCAUCUUCCAGCUGUUUUCCGGCAAAGAUCAACCUCUGCUGAUCAGGAGGAAUGCCUUCCUUAUCUUGGAUCUUUGCCUUGACAUUCUCGAUGGUGUCACUGGGCUCCACCUCGAGGGUGAUGGUCUUACCAGUCAGGGUCUUCACGAAGAUCUGCAUCCCACCUCUGAGACGGAGCACCAGGUGCAGGGUAGACUCUUUCUGGAUGUUGUAGUCAGACAGGGUGCGCCCAUCUUCCAGCUGCUUUCCGGCAAAGAUCAACCUCUGCUGGUCAGGAGGAAUGCCUUCCUUGUCCUGGAUCUUUGCUUUGACGUUCUCGAUGGUGUCACUGGGCUCGACCUCAAGGGUGAUGGUCUUGCCAGUGAGUGUCUUCACGAAGAUUUGCAUCCCACCUCUGAGACGGAGCACCAGGUGCAGGGUGGACUCUUUCUGGAUGUUGUAGUCAGACAGGGUGCGCCCAUCUUCCAGCUGUUUUCCAGCAAAGAUCAGCCUCUGCUGGUCAGGAGGGAUGCCUUCCUUAUCUUGGAUCUUUGCCUUGACAUUCUCGAUGGUGUCACUGGGCUCAACCUCGAGGGUGAUGGUCUUACCAGUCAGAGUCUUCACGAAGAUCUGCAUUG
RNAcentral lists this long non-coding RNA (1675 nucleotides) under Homo sapiens (human). RNAcentral's name for it is "HSALNT0196601". Lineage: Eukaryota; Metazoa; Chordata; Mammalia; Primates; Hominidae. The record is from RNAcentral.